GAGGAAGGAACAAUUUUUCUCUUGUGUCUCAACUUCCUUUUGCCUCUUCCAUCUUCAUACAAAACAGAGAAGGAAAAGAAGAGGUCGUAAGGGUUUCUGAUUUUUGAAGAAGAGGAGAUGAAAUUCAUUGGGCUGGGUCAUGGAUGAUCUUUAUGCACCCCAUGUUUGCUGCCUCUACCACCCUUUUUUGUUUUUAUUAUUAUUUCUAUCUUUACUUACUCCUCCC
This 226-nucleotide long non-coding RNA is filed under the name Vigna radiata. Its description in RNAcentral is "long non-coding RNA (VRAD_LNC011999)". Lineage: Eukaryota; Viridiplantae; Streptophyta; Magnoliopsida; Fabales; Fabaceae. The record is from RNAcentral.